CCCCCCCCCCCAAAAAAAAAACAUGGUUUUCCUUUACAAGUUUACAUGCUCUGAGAGUCAGGACCAGGGGGUUGCUUACUUUUCCCUGUUCUCUACCUUCUGUAUUAGUGAUGGGAUUCAAUUUGAGGUUUCCAGUUUUUUUACCUGACUAUAGUUUGAGAUGUUAUCCUUUGGUGUUACCACCCAUGAUACGGCUAUUGGACUUGGAUAUUGAUUAUUACAACAUUAGGACAUGGCAAAAAUGCACAUACAUCCGUACUCGAGAAUAGCACUCUCACUAUCUUUCUCCUUUAACACAAGCAGGUGGCAGUGGUUGUGCUAAGCUGAGUGCACUCCAUACUCCUUGCAUCUAUUCUUUUAUUUUUUUUAUUCUAGUCGUGUUGUAACCAUGUGGACGUGACAGCUACUUGUUGAGAGGAUGAGCAUCAUAAAUUCAGAUUUUUCCCAUCCUAGUGUGCCAACUAUACUUGAAACUAGUAAUUCCAGUUGAUAAAUGCCAGUGACCACUAGUUCAAGUUUGCUUCACAGUUCUGCGCUUGUCCUUCCCAAGAGUAUGACUGAAGGUCUCUGAGUAACAGAAUUUGCAAUGUCAAAAAGUGUAAACUUGGAGAGAUACGCAUAGUUGAAGUUAGAAGAAUAGGAAAAUGAUUAUUGUAUAUUCUACAUUUUGAGAUGAAACCACUGGGAGAACGGAGUCGUGGUCAAGAACUUUUUAGUGGUCAUAACGUCAUUUUGUUUGUUUCAAGAACUCUGCAAAGAGUGCUUGGGUAAUCUAAUUAAGUGCAGAGGAGUUAGACAUUAUAAAGAGCUCCAUUGUCAACUUUCUCGAUCACUGCCUUCCUUUUAAAGAUGAAUCCACUACGAUAUUAAAGUUGGGAUCAUGUGUGUUUCAGGAGUAGUCAUAUGAGUGAUGUGGCCAAAGAUUAAAGAUUCAUGUGUGUUAAAGACCCAUAAAUAUGCACACCACUUGUGUAAACUUAUCAGAACUUAAAUAUCAUAUUGGCGUAUUGUAAUUUGAAGUUAGGUAGCUCUUUUUGGCAUGAACUUAAUCUAUCUAAACUAAUAUGGUCCUUUCAUGAAAUAAAGGAAAAUUAGGUGAGUGUGGGCAUGGUCCAAUUCUUGUGUGCCUCAGACCUAGAUUGACACUUCCUUACAGAUUUUUAGCGAGAAAAUUAGGGACUUAUGAAUUUUGAAUCUCAAAGGAAGUU
Beta vulgaris subsp. vulgaris (sugar beet) is the source of this 1208-nucleotide long non-coding RNA. RefSeq lists it as uncharacterized. NCBI's taxonomy places the organism in Eukaryota, Viridiplantae, Streptophyta, Magnoliopsida, Caryophyllales, Amaranthaceae. The record is from RefSeq and is a predicted model, not a curated record. The transcript is spliced from 2 exons.